This 922-nucleotide unclassified non-coding RNA is filed under the name Bradyrhizobium sp. LCM 3717. RNAcentral's name for it is "partial 16S-23S ribosomal RNA intergenic spacer". The stretch from base 816 to 922 matches the Rfam family "Bacterial large subunit ribosomal RNA", at positions 1 to 106 of the family's 2925-position model. The record is from RNAcentral. Lineage: Bacteria; Pseudomonadati; Pseudomonadota; Alphaproteobacteria; Hyphomicrobiales; Nitrobacteraceae.
GAGUUCAGUCUUCCCGGGCCCACCAUGCUUCGCCGUUUGGCUACGCAUGGCGCAGCCGGGAACGGGCGGUGACGCGGAAGUUGCCGAACCCCGAAGAAGUUUGGGGCGAUCGAGCUGAUGGGGCUGUAGCUCAGCUGGGAGAGCACCUGCUUUGCAAGCAGGGGGUCAGCGGUUCGAUCCCGCUCAGCUCCACCAUUGUUUUGUCCUGACGCUGUCGCGCCUUUGGCGCUGCGCUCCGGACGGGCCGCCGAACGAUCGGCGAUAGGCCUCUGGCCUAUGUGGUUGGACGUAACGAAGUUUGUCUUCUGAAGAAAUAAAGGUUUUGCAUCGGCUUUCGGGCUUGAUGCGUGUUCUGCAUACAUUGUGAAGAGAAGAUUGAUCUGGAGGCUUCCAGGUGUUUUGAGUGACCGUAUGGUUGUUCAAGGCGUCCGAGCCCGGUCUUUAUGAAACCAUGGAUGGCCUAGCCGGCCGGAUGUGGUGGAGAGAUCGGAGGUAGGAAGGAAGCUUGUCGCUCUGGGUCGUCGUUGUUAGCGCUUUCGAGUGCUUCUGACGGACGGCUGGAUUACCGUUGCCUGACCGCGCGGUACCGGAUUUAAUCUCGAGAAGCUGGUCUUAAGGUAUGGCCAGGCGCACGCUCGGCGUGUGCGCUUAAAGAAUGGACCAUACCGAACACGUCGAUGGCAUCUGAUUGGCGCGAUUGUAAAAGGUAAUCGCGCUUUGGACUGACCGUCUGGUCAGAUUUGGCACCCCUUCGAGCGCAAGCGAGAAGGCAAGGUUUGCCAAAUCCAAUAAGGAUGAGCAUUGGCAAUGAGAACGAUCAAGUGUCGUAAGGGCAUUUAGUGGAUGCCUAGGCAUGCACAGGCGAUGAANGACGUGAUACGCUGCGAAAAGCCGUGGGGAGCUGCGAAUAAGCUUUGAUCCA